RNAcentral lists this ribosomal RNA (439 nucleotides) under uncultured bacterium. RNAcentral describes it as "partial 16S ribosomal RNA". It matches the Rfam family "Bacterial small subunit ribosomal RNA", at positions 339 to 795 of the family's 1533-position model. The record is from RNAcentral.
CUACGGGUGGCUCCAGUGGGGAAUCUUGCACAAUGGAGGAAACUCUGAUGCAGCGAUGCCGCGUGAGUGAAGAAGGCCCUUGGGUUGUAAAGCUCUUUUGUCGGGAAAGAUAAUGACUGUACCCGAAGAAUAAGGUCCGGCUAACUUCGUGCCAGCAGCCGCGGUAAUACGAAGGGACUUAGCGUAAUUCGGAAUUACUGGGCGUAAAGCGCGCGUAGGCGGUUAAGUAAGUUAAUUGUGAAAGCCCAAAGCUCAACUUUGGAAUUGCAAUUAAAACUACUUAGCUAGAGUUUAUCAGAGGAAAGCGGAAUACAUAGUGUAGAGGUGAAAUUCGUAGAUAUUAUGUAGAACACCAGUUGCGAAGGCGGCUUUCUGGGAUAACACUGACGCUGAGGUGCGAAAGUAUGGGUAGCGAAGAGGAUUAGAUACCCUAGUAGUC